ACCGAAAGGUAUGCGUAAUACGAGAUAAAAUACUUUUAUCGCAUGGUAGAAGUAUCAAAGCUUUUGCGGUACAGGAUGGACCCGCGUCUGAUUAGCUAGUUGGUAAGGUAACGGCUUACCAAGGCGACGAUCAGUAGCCGACCUGAGAGGGUGAUCGGCCACAUUGGAACUGAGACACGGUCCAAACUCCUACGGGAGGCAGCAGUGGGGAAUAUUGCACAAUGGGCGAAAGCCUGAUGCAGCAACGCCGCGUGAGCGAUGAAGGCCUUCGGGUCGUAAAGCUCUGUCCUCAAGGAAGAUAAUGACGGUACUUGAGGAGGAAGCCCCGGCUAACUACGUGCCAGCAGCCGCGGUAAUACGUAGGGGGCUAGCGUUAUCCGGAAUUACUGGGCGUAAAGGGUGCGUAGGUGGUUUCUUAAGUCAGAGGUGAAAGGCUACGGCUCAACCGUAGUAAGCCUUUGAAACUGGGAAACUUGAGUGCAGGAGAGGAGAGUGGAAUUCCUAGUGUAGCGGUGAAAUGCGUAGAUAUUAGGAGGAACACCAGUUGCGAAGGCGGCUCUCUGGACUGUAACUGACACUGAGGCACGAAAGCGUGGGGAGCGAACAGGAUUAGAUACCCUGGUAGUCCACGCCGUAAACGAUGAGUACUAGCUGUCGGAGGUUACCCCCUUCGGUGGCGCAGCUAACGCAUUAAGUACUCCGCCU
This 705-nucleotide ribosomal RNA is filed under the name uncultured bacterium. Its description in RNAcentral is "bacterial SSU rRNA". It matches the Rfam family "Bacterial small subunit ribosomal RNA", at positions 150 to 874 of the family's 1533-position model. The record is from RNAcentral.